UUAAUAUAAAUCUCUCUCUGUGUAUUUAUACACAUUACUGGUUUUGCUUCUCUAGAGAACCCAGCCUAAGACAGUUAUGCUCCCUUCAUAGAAUGAACUCAGGAGUAUUGCUUCCUUUUCUAUGUUCUGAAAUAGUUUGAGUAGUACUGGUGUAAGCUGUUCUCUUAAUGUUUGGUAGAAUUCUCCAGUGAAACCAUCAGGGACAAGGCUUUUUUUGUUGGGAGUUUUUUUUUUAACCUUUUCAAUUUCUUUUGUUAUGGAUCUGUUCAGAUUACCAACAUCAUUUUGUGUUAGUUUGGGUAGGUAGAGUGUUUCUAGAAAUUUGUCCAUUUCCUCUAGGUUUUCAAAUUUGUUGGAGUGUAGCUUUUCAUAAUACUCUGUUAUGACCCUUUUUAUUUCAGUUAGCUCUGCUGUAGUGUGCCCCAUUUCAUUUCUUAUUUGGGUUAUUUGCAUCCUCUUCUGUUUUUCUUUUGUCAAUUUGGCUGGUGGUUUGUUGAUUUUGUUGGCCCUUUCAAAGAACCAGCUUUUUGUUUUGUUGAUUCUUUCUAUUGUUUUUCUAUUCUCUAUUUCAUUUAUUUCUGCCCUGGUCUUUAUUAUUUCCUUUCUUCUGGUGGUUGUGGGCUUCUUUUGCUCUUCUGUUUCUAUUUGGUCGAGUUGUGUAGCUAAUGUUUUGAUUUUUUCCCCUUCUUCUUUUUUGAUAUGUGUAUCUAGUGCUAUAAAUUGACUUCUGAGCCCUGCCUUUGCUGUGUCCCAAGGGUUUUAGUAUGAUGUGUUUUCAUUCUCAUUUGAGUCUAGGAAUUUUUUUUUUAUAAUUUUUAUUGUGCUUUAAGUGAAAGUUUACAAAUCAAGUCAGUCUCUCACACAAAAACCCAUAUACACCUUGCUACACACUCCCAAAUACUCUCCCCCUAAUGAGACAGCCCGCUCUCUCCCUCCACUCUCUCUUUUCAUGUCUUUUUCAUCAGCUUCUAACCCCCUCCACCCUCUCAUCUCCCCUCCAGGCAGGAGAUGCCAACAUAGUCUUAAGCAUCCACCUGAUUCAAGAAGCUCACUCCUCACCACCAUCCCUCUCCAACCCAUUGUCCAGUCCAAUCCUUGUCUGAAGAGUUGUCUUGGGGAAUGAUUCCUGUCCUGGGGCAACAGAAGGUCUGGGGGCCAUGACCACUGGGGUCCUUGUAGUCUCAGUCAGACCAUUAAGUCUGGUCUUAUGAGAAUUUGGGGUCUGCAUCCCACUGCUCUUCAUGAAAUAUUCUUGAUGGAACAUAAUACCCCUGAAUCCAAUCCUCUUUAAAACUGACUGUCUUCUGGAGAAAAUGCAGCAGAUAGAGAAUCAAGGCCAAAGACAACACUGGGGAGUAAACAGACAACUCUAGAAGGUGGGAUGAUCUAUAGGAGACCUCUUUUGUUUAUACAGCACAUCAACUGUAUUUUUAAGAAGGAGGGGUGCCAGAGUAAGAGACACAAGAGACUUACCAAUCAAAGACAAUGUGUGCAGUAGUUUGGAACUCAUUCAACAGAAAGCAUUAGGUGAAAUAAUGGCUCUGAGAUUAUAAAGGACAAUGCCCGCACGUGUUUUGGAAAAGCAUCCUGAAGAGAUGGCAGUGAAAUCACACAACCUCUGGAAUUUCUUUUAAAAUAAUUCAGAAAAAUAUAUGAAUUAAAAGAGGAAGCGAUGAAAGAUGGGUGGAAAAGUCUCGAUAGUGAUUUAAUCUGUUAACUAUAUGGAUUUUUUAUACAUAAUAUUCUCCUUCGAGUAUAAUUGAACAUUUUUUAAUGAAAUCUUCCCCCAAAUAAAUGUGAGAGCUGAUGGGAGUCCAACACCCUUACUUCUGAAGGCACAGUUUUCCCAGGUGAAAAGCACAGGAUGACAUGUUUUUAUAAAGAUGUUGGAAAUCCAUGAAGUUCAUGUUUAAAAAAAAAGGAAGAAGGAACCCAGGCUCUUUCCUUUGCCAGACAUCCUACAAAUUGGGGCAUCUGAGCCCCUUUCACCUUCCCUCCUCUUCCCUGAGUAUCAGUGCCAGCAACUGUUGUAAACACCCCUUUCUGCUCACCUAGAGUUUAGUUUACAGAGUUUCCCUUUGGUGUGUGCUCUUUCAAGUAGGGUUUCUGCUACUUCCCACCAUCCUCAUGUCCCACCUGUUUCCUGAGCUGGGCCAGGAGGGGUUUGUGUUCCAGGAACAGCUGACAUGCAGCACUGUGGAUGCACUGCUGGCACAGAAGUACACAGCUGAGUCCCCGGGCUCCGUGGACUGGAUCUCCAGGCUACAGAGGACACAAUCCAUCCUUGCUGUCUGCUCCCUUGCUUUGACCAGCUGUCCUGGAGUCUGGGUGACCUCAGUGUCCAUGGAGCCUGUGGAAGAAGGAGACAGAAGCUGGAGAGCAGCUCAGGAGGAGCCUGAUGUUGCAGCCUCAGGAGGAAGCCCUGACCUUGGAGUCCAACAAGGUCAACAGGACUGACCUGCUCCCAGGAAACACAGGAUCCCCAGGCAGAGCAGUGUGGGGUCCAUGCUGGUCAGAGAGAGAUUAUUGCAAGAAUUUCUCAGCCCUGUGCCACCCUUUCGGAUUUCUUCACUCAGUUUCCACCUCCUCCAGGCGACUAGUGUUUUCGAUUGGAGUCCCUGGGUGAUGCAAAUGGUUGAGAUGGUCAGCUCCUAACCAAAGGAUGAAGGUUCAAGUGCACCCGGAGGCACCUUGGAAGAAAGCCUCGGCCAUUUAAUUCUUAAAAAUCAUCCAUUAAAAACCCUGUGGAGCACAGUUCUACUUCAGCACACAGGUGGUCACCACAAGUCAGAGUCCACUCAGUAGCAACUGUUGUUUUUGCUUGUUUGUUUUUUAACACAUAAUAAGCAUGGUAUUGGUGCUUGCCAUGAUCAUUUUAUGGACUGAAGUGUGGCUCUGAGUUUUCCAACUAGAUAUUUUCUUGAUGUAGCACUGUGUCAACUAACCAAUAUACCAUUUCCCCGAAUUGAAUUGAGUUUUAUGCACUGAGUCACACUGAUUGUAUAACACAGGUCCUUCCCAAGAGUCUUAGAUAACUGAAAAUGGGAUCGCAGAUUAAGUCCUUUUUAAUAAAUGCUGUUAUUUUGGUAGAUCCAUUUUUUUGUUCUUGUUUUUUAAACCUGAGGUCAUUGGUAAUAAAAGAUUUUGGUUGGCAUCUUUGGCUUAGAAACUGAGGCUGCCCCCUCCUGGAAGAACGGAGAAGAUACACUCAGUCUACGUGUGUGUGUGUGUGUGCACGUGUGCAUGUGUGUGUGUAAGAGGGAAAUGGAAGGGGCAGGGAGACUUAGUCUGAGCAGGGGAGGAAGAGAAGGAGAAAUGGGGGAGGGUAGAGUAAGCGUGAGGAGUGGGAGAGGAGAGAACUGGGAAUGAGGUCGGAAUUUAGAGUAAGAGCCAUGGAGAGCUGCAGAAGGGUGGGUAGAACCUGGAGAAAGAAUGUUUCUGACAAUGUUGCUUCCGUGUCGGGUCUCAGCUCCAGGUUCUCCACCAUAACACUGGGCUGAGGGCUUCAUACCUUACACAGGUAAUCUCAACCUUAUUUGUCCCGAACCCAUUUUCCAACCUGGUGACACCUAAGGACCCUUCUUAGAAGAAUGUCUUAAAGAGUGCAUAAAAUAGGAUAUACACAAAGACAACCAUUUAUUUUGAAAUGAAACUAUCCAAAUAUUUUUUAAAUUUAUGAUCAGUUUAUGUAUGUAUAUUAUUAAAAUUCAUUUAAUGAAAUAUUUCACUAUUCUAAAAACUGCCGUGAUUUUGAAGUAAUUAUGAGAAUAAGUGAUAUGUCUUCUAUGUAACGUGAUAUGAAAAUUUUGUGAUUUCUACUAGGGACAUUUUCACAGGCCUAUCAGUACUGCUGUGGCUUAUUCCCUACACUCACCACAGAAGAAAAUGUUAUAUCUCAGCUAGAGAUUAGUGAUAAUAAAGAUGUAUUAUUUCCAUCCAAAAUCAUAGAUUCCUGAAUUCCAUGUAUGUCCCCCAUGGUCCAUGGAUCCCAGGUUAAAACUUUCUGCCUCAGAAUGGAAUAUGCUUCAUGCUGGAGGUCAAGGACAAGGAGCCUUAGAAAGUUCCUAUAUUCUCAGAAAUACUUUACCUACAUGUGUGAUUUUCUUAGACUGUCAAAGAUGUCCUGAUUCUAAAAAAAAAAAGGAAAAAAAUUAAGGUGUUUCUUCAGACUGAUUUACUUACCUAAAUUAUGAGUGACGAGUAGUUACUACGAUUGUAUUCUAGUUCUUGUACUAUGAUACAAUUUCUCUAAUCUUUCUAUCUGCCACCUUCACUAUCCAUCGCCUCCAUCGUUACCCAUAUCAUUGUCACCAUCAACAUCAUCAAAUGGUCUGUGUGGUCCCUGAGGGGUGUUAUUAGAAUACACAUGGCAGGCACAUGGUGUGAUAGACACAUACUUUCUUGCAUGGA
Loxodonta africana (African savanna elephant) is the source of this 4410-nucleotide long non-coding RNA. RefSeq lists it as uncharacterized. The record is from RefSeq and is a predicted model, not a curated record. The transcript has 4 exons. NCBI's taxonomy places the organism in Eukaryota, Metazoa, Chordata, Mammalia, Proboscidea, Elephantidae.